Long non-coding RNA from Musa acuminata AAA Group (dessert banana), 1323 nucleotides. RefSeq lists it as uncharacterized. The record is from RefSeq and is a predicted model, not a curated record. NCBI's taxonomy places the organism in Eukaryota, Viridiplantae, Streptophyta, Magnoliopsida, Zingiberales, Musaceae. The transcript has 2 exons.
GCAAAGAUUGCCUACCAAAGUAUUUUUUUGAUGAACAAGUUCCUUGGAUACAAAUCUAAAAAGAAAAGGUAAAUCUUGAUUGAUGCGAGCGAAGUCACUCGUUUUCGUGUUGGAGUUGGUUGGUGGAAGAAGCUCACAUCUUUUGCUUAUUAUUUAUUGAUGAAGUGAACUUUCUUUCCAUCACCGACCCCCUCCUCCUCUGUUUGAAUCAAGCGAGAUGGCUGUCUCAGAGGUUCGGUUCAUGGAUGGAGCUACGGAAUCUUGGGAACUUCCGGCGGAGAUGGAUUCUGCGAGGGUCCAACUUGGGAGUCCUCCGUCCGGAAACAGAGCAGCAGCGUUUGAGGUGGGAGGGCAGGUGAUCAGUGCUCCGACUUGGGCGAUGCAAGUAUUCUACUUUCUUCUCUUUGCAACGGUCUGUCCUCCGACACGUUCUGCCACCGGUUUUCCUCCCAACUUGUAGUCCUCCGUCCGGGAACAGAGCAGCACCGCUACGAACAGUCCGGACGACGGUGGCCGAUAGUCAUCUCAUCAAUUCUUCUCUUUUAUGCCUCCGGAUGGAUUAAUCGACGCGGAGAGCCAUCUCAUCGAUUCAUCAAGGGGAUCAUCCGAGAGAUAGAUACGAGUUGUAUAGGUUGAGAUUGAAUUAUUAUUUUCCGAGAAAAUAAUAAUAAUUUGAGCGGUAAAAUUGGAAGAGGAAUAUGUGACAUUGGAUGUCAGAUGUAAUUGGAUGUUGCACUGUUUAUCACUGAAUAGCUAGCUAGCUGGCACCGUGCACCGACGAGAGGCUAAGAACCAUUGGAUUAAUUGAGCAAUUGGCAAUCGCUGAUCAGUAUUGCUGUGAGUACUUGUUGUCCGAUGAGCACGAAGGAGUAAGAGGACGAUCGGUGAAGGUGAACGACUCGUCCACCGAUGGUGGUUGGUGGCAAUGACAAAUCUAUCGAUCACCGCCGAUGGUGAUAGCAAGGUGCAAGAGGCAGAUCAAAUAUGCAGAUCGCAGGAGAGGCAGCAAAUCGCUAGCGGUGAUAGUAAGGUGCGAGAGGCCAAGUCAUAGAUCACGAACGUCGAAGAAGGAGAACAAUCGCCGGAGGCGUCAGAUCAAAUCGAGGCUAACACAAUAGUGGUAACAAUAAUUGGAGUGGGCUACAUGAUUUCCUAAGAAUAACAUGAUAAUUAAUAUUCGAGAUGCAUCGAUACUUGGUCAUCUCCACACAGCACCACCUCCUUCACUGCCAAACGUGUGGCAUGUUUGAGGACAUGAUCCGCCAUAUUUGUUCUUGUUCUUCGGUAUUAUCAAGAAGCAUCUCAACAGCCAUAUCUUAUUCA